Molecule: long non-coding RNA, 561 nt
Filed under: Strongylocentrotus purpuratus (purple sea urchin)
Lineage: Eukaryota; Metazoa; Echinodermata; Echinoidea; Camarodonta; Strongylocentrotidae
Description: uncharacterized LOC115929315, transcript variant X1
Source: RNAcentral
UUUUUUCGUACCACGGCGAGGCCGGAUUCCUGUUUUAUCAUGAAUAUUCAUUAGGCAGGGUCGGGGAAAGUCUCGAUUCUCUUAAAUAUUCAUAUCGAGGUGGGAAUGCACGACGCGCGCUAUACUCGCACAAAGUGAGAAGAUUUAGUUCACGGAGAAUGCAUAUGGAUUGAAACUGAAGAGCUGGAAGGAGGACAUUACAACAUCUCUUAUAUUUGCAAGAUGAAGCAGAAAGUCCCAUGCAGGAUGAUGCCUCUCUACAGUGGAUGAUGAAGGCAUUCUGGUUUGCAAACUCAGGAGAGGAACAAAGAACAGAUGUUGACGGGAUCAUAUCUAGAGAUGCGGGCCUACUACACUUCAUACGAGCAAGUGUGCUAAUAUACAUGAAGACUUGGGUUAUAUUUUUUUCUGAAAACUAGGCUACAACUUUAGUGAUGGAUGCAGAAGAUAUCUACACGAGACUACGUCUUAAAGAUGCCACCCUCAUAUAAUGAAAGAGGACAAUAGAGAUGGGUUUAAACUGGAAUAUUUACAUGAUAUUUAUUUGUUAUUUGUAUUAUA